Molecule: ribosomal RNA, 247 nt
Filed under: uncultured Enterococcus sp.
Lineage: Bacteria; Bacillati; Bacillota; Bacilli; Lactobacillales; Enterococcaceae
Description: partial 16S ribosomal RNA
Rfam family: Bacterial small subunit ribosomal RNA
Source: RNAcentral
CACGCCGUAAACGAUGAGUGCUAAGUGUUGGAGGGUUUCCGCCCUUCAGUGCUGCAGCUAACGCAUUAAGCACUCCGCCUGGGGAGUACGACCGCAAGGUUGAAACUCAAAGGAAUUGACGGGGGCCCGCACAAGCGGUGGAGCAUGUGGUUUAAUUCGAAGCAACGCGAAGAACCUUACCAGGUCUUGACAUCCUUUGAACGCUCUAGAGAUAGAGUUUCCCCUUCGGGGGCAAAGUGACAGGUGG